Molecule: ribosomal RNA, 253 nt
Filed under: uncultured bacterium
Lineage: Bacteria
Description: partial 16S ribosomal RNA
Rfam family: Bacterial small subunit ribosomal RNA
Source: RNAcentral
UACGUAGGGUGCGAGCGUUGUCCGGAAUUACUGGGCGUAAAGAGCUCGUAGGUGGUUUGUCGCGUUGUUCGUGAAAACUCACAGCUUAACUGUGGGCGUGCGGGCGAUACGGGCAGACUGGAGUACUGCAGGGGAGACUGGAAUUCCUGGUGUAGCGGUGGAAUGCGCAGAUAUCAGGAGGAACACCGGUGGCGAAGGCGGGUCUGUGGGCAGUAACUGACGCUGGGGAGCGAAAGCGUGGGGAGCGAACAGG